RNAcentral lists this ribosomal RNA (253 nucleotides) under uncultured bacterium. RNAcentral describes it as "partial 16S ribosomal RNA". It matches the Rfam family "Archaeal small subunit ribosomal RNA", at positions 474 to 727 of the family's 1478-position model. The record is from RNAcentral.
UACCAGCACCCCGAGUGGUCGGGACGUUUAUUGGGCCUAAAGCAUCCGUAGCCGGUCAUGCAAGUCUUCCGUUAAAUCCAGCCGCUCAACGGUUGGGCUGCGGAGGAUACUACGUGGCUAGGAGGCGGGAGAGGCAAGCGGUACUCAGUGGGUAGGGGUAAAAUCCUUUGAUCCAUUGAAGACCACCAGUGGCGAAGGCGGCUUGCCAGAACGCGCUCGACGGUGAGGGAUGAAAGCUGGGGGAGCAAACCGG